Molecule: long non-coding RNA, 646 nt
Organism: Physella acuta
Lineage: Eukaryota; Metazoa; Mollusca; Gastropoda; Physidae
Source: RefSeq, a predicted model, not a curated record
GUCAAGCUUUGAGUUCUAUACCUUGGAUGUGUUAGUUGUCCAGCUAGACCAAGCAGUUCUGUGGAUGCCCUAAAGGUUAUGGACACCCAGCUCUGAUGUUUCAGCUGUUACAGUACCAGCAAAGGAUUUACUGAAGAGAUUACGUCGAGAUCUUGCACAUAGGUACAAGGUUAGGUCUUGUUGAGAAAAAACAAAGAUUUAAAGCAAGAUGGUUUACAGAAAAAGUAUACUUUUGGGCUUGAUUUUCCUCGUUCUCAUUGGACAUGAAACCUGUCUCGUGACAGCAAGGUCAUCAUGGCUCGCGACUGACGUCACCAAAACCUGCCUACUCGCCUUGACACGAUGCGUGCUACCCAGCACUGAACCGGAAGCUGUAAAGAUCAAACAGAAAGUGCACAUCUGCCACAUCCUGGCACUGAAACAAGACUGUCUGGUCAAGCCUGAAUCCUGCACGCAGGGAGAAUACGACAAGAUGGCCGCUGAAUGUAGUGCUGCAGGGUCAGUGCUGACGUCACUAGCUGUGAUCCUGUCCGCUGUUACUCUCACACUGUGUGCAAUAAGAAACUGAUUUCUUUGUUCAUAGCUCUUGUGUCUAUAUAUCGGCUUGAUAUACUUUGUACACAGAAAAUAAAUUAUGUUAAUUAUU